Molecule: ribosomal RNA, 280 nt
Filed under: uncultured prokaryote
Description: partial 16S ribosomal RNA
Rfam family: Bacterial small subunit ribosomal RNA
Source: RNAcentral
UACGUAGGGGCUAGCGUUAUCCGGAAUUACUGGGCGUAAAGGGUGCGUAGGCGGUCUUUCAAGCCAGAAGUGAAAGGCUACGGCUCAACCGUAGUAAGCCUUUGAAACUGAGAAACUUGAGUGCAGGAGAGGAGAGUAGAAUUCCUAGUGUAGCGGUGAAAUGCGUAGAUAUUGGGAAGAACACCGGUGGCGAAGGCGGCUUUCUGGACUGUAACUGACACUGAGGCACGAAAGCGUGGGGAGCAAACAGGAUUAGAUACCCCGGUAGUCCCUGAGCGGG